CAGAUACUUCCUCUAGUAUUUUAUUAAAAAAUACUGAGUCUCUGUGAUAUCUCUUAUUUCAUGACAACGUAGUUUGCAAUUUGCCUAGUCUCACACCUGGGAAGAAGCAAGGGCAUUUUAUUGUAUCAGAGCAAACAUUCAUGUAAAAAGCAGGAGAAAAAAGACCUUUCACUUUUAACCAUGAACAAGUUCUCACCCUCCCUGUGCAUCUAGUUUUCAGGUGAAGAUGAGUUGACCGAAGUGCAUGUGGCUGAUCCAGCUGUUGCACCCUCCAUCCAGUAUAACUUUUGUGCCGUUGCCUUUGGUGCAACCCCUUGACAUGAAACCACAGUUCUUCCAAUAAGCAGAGUGAAUGUGAACACAUGUUGGCAGAACUGUGCCAUUUACAAAGGAAGUGGUGAGAUAUUACUGAGGAAAAGCUAGACAAUGCUGCACCAGCAAUCUGAUCCCGCUCAUUCUUUCUCCAAAAUGUAGUUUCCAACUCUGCAGGAGUAGUGGCUGUGAAAUACAUGGGAAAGAGUUUGAAAAGUAUGUAUCCCACAUUUCACAGCACUUUCCAGGAUUUUACAUUUCAGUAUAGACAAAAGUAAGUGUAUAAUGCUUGUAAAUAAAAUUUACAAACCAAACAGAAUUUUGCCAAACAAGAAAGUUGUUUCCCUUACAACAGCCCAACUUGUGAUUUCAUUAACAAAACUGAUAUGUUAGUUCAAAUCAAAUAUCUCAUAUCAUUAAACCAUCCACAAGCAAAUUUGUUUUACAUUAACAGUUGAGUAACCCUGCAGAGAGUGCAAGUUCAGGGGAACAGAAAGUGAAAAUAUAGUCUUACCAGCAUGAUUUAAAUUAAUUAAACAAGCAUUAGUACCUUCAAGCAGUUACACACUAUUACUUUAAGUCUUUGGUGGGGAAAGCUAUGAUUUACAUGUUCAAUCAUUUUAAUACUUUCUAUGAACCAGAUGUUACAGUAGCUUUGUUAGCUGAUGCCAUAAACAAAAGAUACAGUUGAAAACACAUGCUAUAAUAAUUAAAAUGUUAUUAUGCUGACACCAUCUUUCUUCUAGGAUCUUGUAACAUCUGUAUUGACUGUGAUAAGCAUUGAUUAUCUGGAAUGAUGUAAAAUAUUUGGGGAGUUAAUAACAAUCAGGAAUUCAGUACAUGCUAAGACAGCAAAGAUAAAUCACAGGAAAUACAGAUCAAAGCAGUUCAAAAACAUUAAUGGCUAGCCGGGCACGGUGGCUCAGGCCUGUAAUCCCAGCACUUUGGAAGGCCGAGGUGGGAGGAUCACAAGGUCAGGAGAUCAAGACCAGCCUGGCCAAUAUGGUGAAACCCCAUCUCUACAGAAAAUACAAAAAUUAGUUGGGCAUGGUGGUGCACACCUGUAAUACCAGCUAUUCAGGAGGCUGAGGCAGGAGAAUUGCUUGAACCCGGGAGGUGGAGGUUCCAGUGAACUGAGAUUGCGCCAUUACACUCCAGCCUGGGCAACAGAGCAAGACUCCAUCUCAAACAAAACAAAACAAAAAAGAGAAAAGAAAAGAAAACAUUAAUGGCUGUAUAAUAUUCCAUGAACUAUUUUCAUGCCAUGUUACCACCAGAGAGACUGCGCCAAUUUACUUCCCCACAAGCAGUACAAAAUGACAUCUUUCCAAAUGUUUGCUACCACAAAGUAUUCUCUUUUUCCUAGUAUUUGGUAAGUUGGUAAGUAGAAAGAGUUAUAUUGUGGCUGUUUGAGUUUACAAUUCUUUGUGCUGAAUGUUUUUCCCUAAUUUACUUUCCUGUCAAUAUCUUCUACUGGUCUUGUCUAACCCUACCUUUGCCCACUUUCUUUUUUCCUUUUAGCAUUUUGAUGUUUCUGCUAAUUCACUUUCAUGAGGUCUUUUUAUGUUUUAUAUAUUAGCCCUUGUUCUGUCCAACACAGAUGAUAAAUUUCUUACUUUUUGGCUUUUUAAUUUGUUUUCAAGAAUGAUGCAUUUUUAUUUCCACUAAGUAAAAUCUAGCCAUUUUUACUCAUUAUUUACCCUUAUGUUAUUUGGACCCAUUGAUCAGGCUGGUGAUUCUGACACCAGAACCACAUAAUUGUUAUUAUCUAGUACGAAAUGUUCUACCUCAUAUUCCUCUUUUUCAAAUUUUCAUGCCU
Molecule: long non-coding RNA, 2131 nt
Filed under: Homo sapiens (human)
Lineage: Eukaryota; Metazoa; Chordata; Mammalia; Primates; Hominidae
Description: HSALNT0019771
Source: RNAcentral